Molecule: transfer RNA, 85 nt
Filed under: Crassvirales sp.
Lineage: Duplodnaviria; Heunggongvirae; Uroviricota; Caudoviricetes; Crassvirales
Description: tRNA-Leu
Rfam family: tRNA
About the family: Transfer RNA (tRNA) molecules are approximately 80 nucleotides in length. Their secondary structure includes four short double-helical elements and three loops (D, anti-codon, and T loops).
Source: RNAcentral
GCUCGAAUGAUGGAAUAGGUAGACAUAAAAGACUUAAAAUCUUUUGAACUUUUAGUUCGUGUGGGUUCAAAUCCCACUUCGGGUA